RNAcentral lists this ribosomal RNA (393 nucleotides) under uncultured bacterium. RNAcentral's name for it is "bacterial SSU rRNA". It matches the Rfam family "Bacterial small subunit ribosomal RNA", at positions 85 to 482 of the family's 1533-position model. The record is from RNAcentral.
CCUGCCGGCGAGUGCGAACGGGUAGUAACAUAUCGGAACGUGCCCAGGAGUGGGGGAUAGCCCGGCGAAAGCCGGAUUAAUACCGCAUACGGACCUGAGGGUGAAAGUGGGGGACCGCAAGGCCUCACGCCCCUGGAGCGGCCGAUAUCUGAUUAGCUAGUUGGUGGGGUAAAGGCUCACCAAGGCGACGAUCAGUAGCUGGUCUGAGAGGACAACCAACCACACUAGGACUGAGACACGGCCCAGACUCCUACGGGAGGCAGCAGUGGGGAAUUUUGGACAAUGGGGGCAACCCUGAUCCAGCAAUACCGCGUGUGUGAAGAAGGCCUUCGGGUUGUAAAGCACUUUUGGCGGGGAAGAAAGCGGUCUGGCGAAUACCUGGCCUGGAUGCGG